UGGCGGUAAUUUCAGCUCCAAUAGCGUAUAUUUAAGUUGUUGCAGUUAAAAAGCUCGUAGUUGGAUUUCGGGUGGGUUCUAGCGGUCCGCCUAUGGUGAGUACUGCUAUGGCCCUCCUUUCUGUCGGGGACGGGCUUCUGGGCUUCACUGUCCGGGACUCGGAGUCGACGUGGUUACUUUGAGUAAAUUAGAGUGUUCAAAGCAGGCUUACGCCCUGAAUACUUUAGCAUGGAAUAACACGAUAGGACUCUGGCCUAUCUUGUUGGUCUGUAGGACCGGAGUAAUGAUUAAGAGGGACAGUCGGGGGCAUUCGUAUUUCAUUGUCAGAGGUGAAAUUCUUGGAUUUAUGAAAGACGAACUACUGCGAAAGCAUUUGCCAAGGAUGUUUUCAUUAAUCAAGAACGAAAGUUGGGGGCUCGAAGACGAUUAGAUACCGUCGUAGUCUCAACCAUAAACGAUGCCGACUAGGGAUUGGCGAAUGUUUUUUUAAUGACUUCGCCAGCACCUUAUGAGAAUUCCCAGUUAUUUGGGUUCCGGGGAGAUUAAUUGGUCAAGCA
Molecule: ribosomal RNA, 557 nt
Filed under: Graesiella emersonii
Lineage: Eukaryota; Viridiplantae; Chlorophyta; Trebouxiophyceae; Chlorellales; Chlorellaceae
Description: SSU rRNA
Rfam family: Eukaryotic small subunit ribosomal RNA
Source: RNAcentral